UUAACAUGCGAAUUGGUUUUUAUUUUAUAAUAUCUCCCCAGAUCACUUUAAAGCUAUUAUUGAGUGAUGGCUUUGUGGAGGUCGAAGAGGGCUAUCGGCCAGUAUUUUUUUCAAAUCGUUUCAUCGCGCUCAUUCACUGUAAAAAGGUUUUAAAAAUCGUAUUUUGAAAUUCGCGCCCGAUCCGAAUUGUCGCGAAGUGUUCCGUCGUACUGUCGAAGUUCGGCGAUCGCGUAUUUUCAUUAUCCAUGCAAAAUUCAAAUGUCAAAGUGAAAUUAGAAAUUAUUCUCAUCAGAAAUAAACGAACAAGUCAAACUGAAUUGUUUUAUCCAGUGUGAUGAUUAUUGUAGGACAAAUUAAACGGAAUAAAUGCACAAAUUGAUCCAUUCAUUCGUCAUAGUGCGCGACCCCGUCAAACGAGCCAUCUCGAACUACAAUCAGACCGUAUCCAAAAAGCCCAAGAUGAAGACUUCAAGACUUCGAGCAGCUGGUCUUCCUCAAAACCCCAUCAAAGCCCAUCGGCAGCAUUGCGACAUUUUCUGGGAGCCCUCAAGCUAGGAAUGUACUCGGGCUGCCUCACUCAGUAAUCACUGAACGACUCAAAUUGAAUUAUUUUAUCCAAUAUGACGAUUAUUGUUAUGUUGCUGGUGCUGAUCGAGUCUUUAUUACUAAAAUCUCAUUAAAAUGCCAUGUUCUACUGCGAUUAGAUGAAAAAGCGAGGGCCCGCAUUUCUUAUUGUGUGAUGAUAAGAUUUACCAUCAAAAUAGCUGGCGCUUUUGAAGAGGACCUUUUAAUGAACCAUUUAGAUAACUACAAAUAACAAAACUUAACAAUUGUUGAUGAAUGAAGUAACGAAAUAUUGUACGAAUCUGGAGAAGUAUUGCACUAUUUUCAAGAAUUGCUCAAAAAGACUGCUCUCAGCAGCUGUACAGUAAGUAAGCCAAUCUUCAAAACUCCUACGCGUGUUGAUCAGCAUUUUAGUUGAAAUCUGAAGACAAUAUUGCUGGAUUGCUUGUUUCAGCGCUUCUCUGUUUGUAUAGCUUGUCUGAAUGCAGAUGGUCGUGAAGAAAUCUCCAAAGAAAAAAUUCUCAGGGGUUUAUAUCCGGCGAUUGCACAGGCCAAUGGGGCGGUGCAAACUUUCCAUUCCAACAUUGCGGAAAAAUACUGGUUCAAAUAAACAACAUUUAUGCGAACUGUAUGGCUGGAGAUUUGGUCCUGGAUGUAAAAGACCUGCUGCAGAUGCCGCACCCUUCGAGUCCCAGGAAGUAUUUGCUGAGCUAGCAUAUUAUCCUACUUCUGAGCAUUCAAUCCGGAUUCGAUGAAAAAAGGUGCAAUGACAUGAUGUCCUAGAAGCCCCAGUCAUACACUGACAAUUGCACGCCAUUGAUAACGAAGGUCAUGGACCACGUGAGGGUUGUGUAAUGCUCAAAUUUGAUCGUUCUGACGAUUAUAACUUCCCUUAAGACCAAAUGAACGUCAGUAAAACAAAUUUUCCUCAAAAACUCUCCAUCAGCCUAGAUUCUCUCAAGCGUUCCUUCGUAAAACUCUAUAUGUGAGAAGUAGUCCCCAGGCUUCAAUUUUUUGUCAUGAUGCUUUUUGAAGUUCUUCUAUCUCAUCUGUUUAAGACCCCUAGAAAACGUCGUGCCCACCUGAUUUUAUGUAAUUUUUAUCACCUUUGAAAAUAAAUGUAACUUUAUUUUGCGAAA
Zophobas morio is the source of this 1703-nucleotide long non-coding RNA. RefSeq lists it as uncharacterized. The transcript has 2 exons. The record is from RefSeq and is a predicted model, not a curated record. Lineage: Eukaryota; Metazoa; Arthropoda; Insecta; Coleoptera; Tenebrionidae.